RNAcentral lists this ribosomal RNA (751 nucleotides) under uncultured organism. RNAcentral's name for it is "bacterial SSU rRNA". It matches the Rfam family "Bacterial small subunit ribosomal RNA", at positions 644 to 1395 of the family's 1533-position model. The record is from RNAcentral.
GAGUGCCCUAGGCCUAGAGCGAAUUCCCGGCGUAACGGUGAAAUGCGUAGAGCUCGGGAAGAACACCGGUGCCGUAAGCGCUCUACUGGACGGCAACUGACACUCAGGGACGAAAGCAGCGGGAGCGAAUGGGAUUAGAUACCCCAGUAGUCCUAGCCGUAAACGACGGAUACUAGCUGUAGCUUGUAUCGACCCGACCUGUGCCGUAGCUUACGCGUUAAGUAUCCCGCUUGGGGAGUACGCACGCAAGUGUGAUACUCAAAGGAAUUGACGGGGGCCAGCACAAACGAUGGAGUAUGUGCGCUAAUUCGACGCGACGCGAAGAACCUUACCAGGGCUUGACAUCUCCUGGAAUCCCGGUGAGAGCUGGGAGGGCCUUCGGGAGCCGGAACACAGGUGGUGCAUGACACUCGUCAGCUCGUGUCGUGAGAUGUUGGGUUAAGUCCCGCAACGAGCGCAACCCUCGUCUUUACUUGCAAGCAUUAAGUUGGGCACUCUAGAGAGUCUGCCGGUGACAAACCGGAGGAAGAUGGGGAUGAUGUCAAGUCAGCAUGCCCCGUACGCUCUGGGCGACACACGUCCUACAAUGGUAGGGACAGAGGCAAGCGAACCUGCGAAGGCAAGCUAAUCCCAGCAAACUCGGCCUCAGUUCAGAUCGCAGACCGCAACUAGCAUGCGCGAAGGAGGAAUCGCUAGUAAUCGCCGGUCAGUAUCCGGCGGGAAUCCGUUCCCGGGCAUGUACACACCGCCC